Molecule: long non-coding RNA, 231 nt
Filed under: Lathyrus oleraceus (garden pea)
Lineage: Eukaryota; Viridiplantae; Streptophyta; Magnoliopsida; Fabales; Fabaceae
Description: Pisum sativum (pea) long non-coding RNA (PSAT_LNC000098)
Source: RNAcentral
UUCGCCGGGAUGCCCUUUUUUUGCCUGGACUCUUUUUUUCUUUUUGUCCAGCGGGUCAAUUUAUGCGAAGUAUUUUUUGACUACAUCUGAGUUGACAGGAGACGGAAAAUCUUCACCAUCCAUAGUUGUAAGCAUCAAGGCUCCACCGGAGAAGACCUUCUUCACAACAUACGGACCUUCAUAAUUAGGAGUCCACUUGCCCCUGUUAUCUGUACCGGGAGGGAGGAUCCU